This 234-nucleotide ribosomal RNA is filed under the name uncultured bacterium. RNAcentral's name for it is "partial 16S ribosomal RNA". It matches the Rfam family "Bacterial small subunit ribosomal RNA", at positions 15 to 236 of the family's 1533-position model. The record is from RNAcentral.
GAUCCUGGCUCAGGAUGAACGCUAGCUACAGGCUUAACACAUGCGAGUCGGAGGGGAAACGACAUCGAAAGCUUGCUUUUGAUGGGCGUCGACCGGCGCACGGGUGAGUAACGCGUAUCCAACCUGCCCAUCACUUGGGAAUAACCUUGCGAAAGUAAGACUAAUGCCCAAUGAUAUCCCACGAAGGCAUCCGAAUGGGAUUAAAAGAUUUAUCGGUGAUGGAUGGGGAUGCGU